GAGUUUGAUCGUGGCUCAGAUUGAACGCUGGCGGCAGGCCUAACACAUGCAAGUCGAACGGUAACAGGAAACAGCUUGCUGUUUCGCUGACGAGUGGCGGACGGGUGAGUAAUGUCUGGGAAGCUGCCUGAUGGAGGGGGAUAACUACUGGAAACGGUAGCUAAUACCGCAUAACGUCGCAAGACCAAAGAGGGGGACCUUCGGGCCUCUUGCCAUCGGAUGUGCCCAGAUGGGAUUAGCUAGUAGGUGGGUAACGGCUCACCUAGGCGACGAUCCCUAGCUGGUCUGAGAGGAUGACCAGCCACACUGGAACUGAGACACGGUCCAGACUCCUACGGGAGGCAGCAGUGGGGAAUAUUGCACAAUGGGCGCAAGCCUGAUGCAGCCAUGCCGCGUGUAUGAAGAAGGCC
This 410-nucleotide ribosomal RNA is filed under the name uncultured microorganism. RNAcentral's name for it is "bacterial SSU rRNA". It matches the Rfam family "Bacterial small subunit ribosomal RNA", at positions 9 to 416 of the family's 1533-position model. The record is from RNAcentral.